This 491-nucleotide long non-coding RNA is filed under the name Rattus norvegicus (Norway rat). RNAcentral's name for it is "long non-coding RNA NONRATT002990". The record is from RNAcentral. Lineage: Eukaryota; Metazoa; Chordata; Mammalia; Rodentia; Muridae.
GGGAGGUCAUGCCUACAUAGCCUGUGUUUGUGUGUCUAUGCUUCUGAUCUUCUCCUGUUCUGCUGUGACCUGUACAGCCCCGACAGAAGCUAUGCACUGGUGGGCUCCUCAAAUGGCACCCUGUACAUCUGGGAUGUGAACACUGGGAAACUGGAGACCAGCCUACAGGGACCGCACUGCACUGCUGUCAAUGCCGUGGCUUGGUGCUUCUCCGGGAACCAUGUUGUGAGUGUGGACCAAGUCAGGAAGGUGGUGCUCUGGCACUAGUGGCACAAGUUCCCUGUAUGGUUUGGACUCUGUUCUGAAGCCAGAAGCCAGAGAGCAGCUUCCCUGUGCUCAGGACUCCAGAGCUGGGGUUGGGGUCUACUGUAGAAUUCACGUGAGGGCCAGGCAGGACCUGGCCUGUUUGUUUAAAAUCAAAGUGUGGGUUAGGAACUACAGUUCUUGAAAAUCUGUUUACUCUCCUCAGUGUUAAAAACUAUAUGUAAGAC